Molecule: ribosomal RNA, 355 nt
Filed under: Suphis sp. IR-2002
Lineage: Eukaryota; Metazoa; Arthropoda; Insecta; Coleoptera; Noteridae
Description: partial 12S ribosomal RNA
Source: RNAcentral
AUUAUUAUUAAUGUAAAUUAGUCCUAAUUAGUAUUAGUUAUUUUCUUCAAAAUUAAAAGAUUUGGCGGUAUUUUAGUCUAUUCAGAGGAACCUGUCCCUUAAUUGAUAGUCCACAAUUAGAAUUACUUAAAUUAUAAAUAUGUAUAUCGUCGUUAUAAGAAAAUUUUAUAAGAAUUUAAAAUAUUUAAUAUUUAUUAUUUUAAAAUAUUUCAGAUCAUGGUGCAGUUUAUAUUUAAGAGGAGAUGGGUUACAAUAAUUUUAUUUAUACGGAUUUUUUGUUUAAAUAUGUUUAUGAAGGUGGAUUUGAAAGUAAAUAAAUUAAUUUAUUUUUUUUGAUUUUAGCUCUAAAAUAUGU